Non-coding RNA from Pelobates cultripes (western spadefoot toad), 392 nucleotides. NCBI's taxonomy places the organism in Eukaryota, Metazoa, Chordata, Amphibia, Anura, Pelobatidae. The record is from the annotation of a GenBank genome assembly.
GGCGGUGUAGGUGGAAGCAGCGGAGGAGGAUGAUGAGGUAGCCAACACUUUCUUAUAUAUAUAUUUUUUUUUUUAUUUUUUUUUUUUUAAUUGGGGUAGCACCCAAAAUAUUGGGACAUAGAAAAAAGACAACUCUGUUCUGCAGAGUAGCUGUUGACAUUAUAGUUGUGCAGGCACUUUGUUGACUCUAGAGAACCUCGGGCCAAUCGCACAACCCCAUGACGGCAACUUUGCACUUGGAUGUCAUCCAUAUCAACAUUCAAUGCCAGCUUCUGCACCACGGGUAACGGGGAAUCAGGGUUCCAUUCCGUACAGGGACCCUGAGAAAUGGCUACCACAUGCAAGGAAGGCAGCAGGCACGCAAAUGACCCAUUCCUGACGCGGGAAGGUAG